UACGGGGGGUGCGAGCGUUAUUCGGAUUUAUUGGGCGUAAAGGGCGCGUAGGCGGCCGGGCAAGUCUGGUGUGAAAACGCUACCGCUCAACGGAGCGAGUGCACCGGAUACUGCCUGGCUUGAGUGCGAGAGAGGUAAGCAGAAUACCUGGUGUAGCGGUGGAAUGCGUAGAUAUCAGGUAGAAUACCAGUGGCGAAGGCGGCUUACUGGCUCGUUACUGACGCUGAGGCGCGAAAGCGUGGGGAGCAAACGGG
RNAcentral lists this ribosomal RNA (254 nucleotides) under uncultured bacterium. RNAcentral describes it as "partial 16S ribosomal RNA". It matches the Rfam family "Bacterial small subunit ribosomal RNA", at positions 524 to 776 of the family's 1533-position model. The record is from RNAcentral.